AUGCAAGUCGAGCGGAAGGCCCUUCGGGGUACUCGAGCGGCGAACGGGUGAGUAACACGUGAGCAACCUGCCCCUGACUCUGGGAUAAGCCCGGGAAACUGGGUCUAAUACCGGAUAUGACCGCCCCCGGCAUCGGGUGGUGGUGGAAAGUUUUUCGGUUGGGGAUGGGCUCGCGGCCUAUCAGCUUGUUGGUGGGGUAGUGGCCUACCAAGGCGACGACGGGUAGCCGGCCUGAGAGGGCGACCGGCCACACUGGGACUGAGACACGGCCCAGACUCCUACGGGAGGCAGCAGUGGGGAAUAUUGCGCAAUGGGCGGAAGCCUGACGCAGCGACGCCGCGUGGGGGAUGACGGCCUUCGGGUUGUAAACCUCUUUCAGCAGGGACGAAGUUGACGUGUACCUGCAGAAGAAGCGCCGGCUAACUACGUGCCAGCAGCCCGGGUAAUUCA
Molecule: ribosomal RNA, 450 nt
Filed under: Nonomuraea sp. YN-8-7
Lineage: Bacteria; Bacillati; Actinomycetota; Actinomycetes; Streptosporangiales; Streptosporangiaceae
Description: bacterial SSU rRNA
Rfam family: Bacterial small subunit ribosomal RNA
Source: RNAcentral